Molecule: ribosomal RNA, 940 nt
Filed under: uncultured organism
Description: bacterial SSU rRNA
Rfam family: Bacterial small subunit ribosomal RNA
Source: RNAcentral
UUGAUCCUGGCUCACAACGAACGCUGACGGCAUGGCUAAAACAUGCAAGUCGGACGCGAACGUUCCCUUCGGGGAACAAGUAGAGUGGCGAAAGGGCGAGUAACGCAUGGGUAACGUACCCUUAACACAGGGAUAGCCGCGGGAAAUCGUGGAUAAUACCUGAUAAGACCACAGCGCCGUAUGGCGUAGCGGUCAAAUGGCGGGGAUCCUUCGGGACCUGCCGGUUUUGGAGCGGCCCAUGUCCUAUCAGCUUGUUGGUGAGGUGAUGGCUCACCAAGGCAACGACGGGUAGCGGGACUGAGAGGUUGGCCCGCCGCAUCGGGACUGAGACACUGCCCGGACUCCUACGGGAGGCUGCAGUAACGAAUAUUGUCCAAUGGGCGCAAGCCUGAGACAGCAAUGCCGCGUGCGGGAGGAAGUCCUUCGGGAUGUAAACCGCUGUCAGGGGCUACCAAGUAAAGAGGGUUAACAGCUCUCUGCGCUGAGGAGCCCCAGAGGAAGCCACGGCUAACUUCGUGCCAGCAGCCGCGGUAAUACGAAGGUGGCGAGCGUUGUUCGGAAUCACUGGGCUUAAAGAGCACGUAGGCGGACCUUCAAGCGUCUUGUGAAAUCCCUCGGCUCAACCGAGGAAUUGCGAGGCGAACUGUUGGUCUUGAGGCAGGCAGGGGCGCGCGGAACUCUUGGUGGAGCGGUGGAAUGCGUAGAUAUCAAGAGGAACGCCAGAGGCGAAGGCGGCGCGCUGGGCCUGUCCUGACGCUGAGGUGCGAAAGCCAGGGGAGCGAACGGGAUUAGAUACCCCGGUAGUCCUGGCCCUAAACGAUGUCCACUAGGUCGACGGCUCUCUGACGAGUUAUCGGCCGAAACAAAAGCGAUAAGUGGACCGNCUGGGGAGUACGGUCGCAAGGCUAAAACUCAAACGAAUUGACGGGGGCUCACACAA